GCUGUCUGUUGGUGCCUCCUUGGGGUGCUGCCAACAGUGCGUUGGUGGUAUGUGCAUGUGUGCGUGCGUGUGUGUGUGUGUGUGUGUGUGUAGGAAGAGGCGUUCGCUCUCUUAGACUUUGCUUCUUUCUGUGGUUUGGUUUCUAUAGAGACACUUCCUGUGGCAGAGAAAAGAGGUAGUGAGCUGGUGUUUCAGGAUGUGAGGGCCCGCAGGAGAAGACGGGCUCACUCUGCUGCCUGCCCACCAUCGUGCACUCUCUGGCCGGCUCUACCCACAGUCCCCAUGGUGGGCUGCCCCCACGGCGGGGACCCGUGAUCAGCAGCGGCAUGCCAGGGAAACCCAAGCACCUGGGUGUCCCCAACGGGCGCAUGGUUCUGGCUGUUUCAGAUGGAGAGCUGAGCAGCACGGCAGGGUCCCAGGGCCAGGGCGAGGCCGAGGCAGCUCCUCAGCAUCCACAGUCUCCCCAGUGGCCCCAGCGCGCCCCUUCCCCUCUGAGGAGCAGCCUGUAGCCAGCUGGGCCUGUCCUUUGAGUGGCUGCUGCAAGACCCC
This 549-nucleotide long non-coding RNA is filed under the name Heterocephalus glaber (naked mole-rat). RNAcentral's name for it is "lncRNA (ENSHGLG00100034248.1)". Lineage: Eukaryota; Metazoa; Chordata; Mammalia; Rodentia; Bathyergidae. The record is from RNAcentral.